GAAAAGAUCAUUCACAAAAUUUUAUUGCACACCACAGUAUAGCAUUGCCAAAUUUUCAACUAAUGAACCACAAAGUAGCACUAAAACGAAUUUAAAUCCAAUCAAGCCUAACGACGCAUAAGGUUUGAUCGUCAUUCAGUACUACCUUUGUGGUGUCAUCAACCUUUUUACACUGUCAUUCUUCAUAUAGGUCUAGAUAUUUUAAAAAUUAGAAUGUUCUUGUUAUCUAUUACAGGUAAGUAUCUAGAUAGGACUAUGUGACCAUAUCACAUACCUUAACUAAGAGAGCUAGGCUUUACUUUCAAGAACCACUCUAAUGCAAAUUGUUCCAGCCAUAUCCUUUCGAGAAGAAGAAAAAGAAGAACUAUGAUUUGAAUAUAAGGUUCAAGAAAAUGUUGAUAAUGGAAAAUAUCAUUGGUUCUACGAGGAGAAAAUUAGAAAUUCAAGAGAAUCAUGAUGAUUUGGAAGAAAUUCUUACUUCAAAUUGCAGUAAUCUCAAGAAGUGAUUGUACAAGUAAGAACAAUUUUUGAAAAAAGAAAAUUUAAGAGCAGGAUUUCGCGAUUUCUCAGGUUACAAUAUCAAGGAGUGAUUGUACAAGGCAGAACAAUUUUUUGAAGAUGAAGGUACACCUUAUGAUGCAACAGUCAGUGUUGCUUGAGUGAUUUUAGAAGGAGAAACUUUGCCAUGGCAAAUGAAAUUCAUGGAAAUAUGAGCCGGCAAGGAUAUAAUAAUGUGGGAUGAUUACAUUUAUGCUUUGAGAUUUAGAUUUUGCAAUCACAGUUAUGAGGGAACCGAUGGCCCUUAAUGAUUGCAAAUCUACUUAAGAUAAAUCGAGUUCUAAGAUGGAAGAAAAGAUCCUUCCAUGUUAAUUGGUUUUGAGCUCUUUUGCAUGUGCGAUGAAGAAUAGAGAUGCUAGAAAAUAAAAUAGAAGUUUUGGUGUCCAAGCUAUGCAGCAAGGCUUGAUAGAAAUAAAGAUAGAGGCUGGAAAUUUCUUGGAGGUGAUUGGAUUUGGUUUUCAAGGACUUAUCCCUACAGAUGCACCACCACCAAGGAAAAAGAAAUUAUAAUCUAGAAUAAUGAGUUAUCAGUCAAGAAUCUCUUCAUUUCCACUUGUGUACCACAAUUUUAAGGUUCUCUCUUUAGAUAUCAGUCUAGAUAAUAAUAGUCCAAAAACUAUCAGUGGUAGCUGCUGUAAAGUUACCAGUUUUCUGAUAACUUCCUUGUGCAUUACAAGCUUACA
Molecule: unclassified non-coding RNA, 1241 nt
Filed under: Hevea brasiliensis (rubber tree)
Lineage: Eukaryota; Viridiplantae; Streptophyta; Magnoliopsida; Malpighiales; Euphorbiaceae
Source: RNAcentral